RNAcentral lists this ribosomal RNA (253 nucleotides) under uncultured bacterium. RNAcentral describes it as "partial 16S ribosomal RNA". It matches the Rfam family "Bacterial small subunit ribosomal RNA", at positions 524 to 776 of the family's 1533-position model. The record is from RNAcentral.
UACGUAGGCAGCAAGCGUUGUUCGGAGUUACUGGGCGUAAAGGGUGUGUAGGCGGUUGUUUAAGUUUGGUGUGAAAUCUCCCGGCUCAACCGGGAGGGUGCGCCGAAUACUGAAUGACUAGAGUGCGGGAGAGGAAAGUGGAAUUCCUGGUGUAGCGGUGAAAUGCGUAGAUAUCAGGAAGAACACCCGUGGCUAAGGCGGCUCUCUAGUACGGUACUGACGCUGAGACGCGAAAGCGUGGGGAGCGAACAGG